RNAcentral lists this ribosomal RNA (1157 nucleotides) under uncultured Stachybotrys. RNAcentral describes it as "eukaryotic LSU rRNA". The stretch from base 541 to 1157 matches the Rfam family "Eukaryotic large subunit ribosomal RNA", at positions 1 to 649 of the family's 3401-position model. The record is from RNAcentral. Lineage: Eukaryota; Fungi; Ascomycota.
AAGUCGUAACAAGGUCUCCGUUGGUGAACCAGCGGAGGGAUCAUUACCGAGUUAACAACUCCCAAACCCCUAUGUGAACCUAUACCAAACGUUGCUUCGGCGGGAACGCCCCGGCUCAGCCCGGAACCAGGCGCCCGCCGAGGACCCCCAAACCCAUGUUUCUUACAGUUUUUUCUGAGUGGCAAACGCAAAAUAAAUUAAAACUUUUAACAACGGAUCUCUUGGCUCUGGCAUCGAUGAAGAACGCAGCGAAAUGCGAUACGUAGUGUGAAUUGCAGAAUUCAGUGAAUCAUCGAAUCUUUGAACGCACAUUGCGCCCGCCAGCAUUCUGGCGGGCAUGCCUGUCCGAGCGUCAUUUCAACCCUCAGGGUCCCCCCGCCUCGCGCGGUCGGAGCCUGGUGUUGGGGAUCGGCCCGCCCCGCGCGGCGCCGUCCCCCAAAUACAGUGGCGGUCCCGCCGCAGCCUCCCCUGCGCAGUAGUUAUCAACUCGCACUGGGGCGCGGCGCGGCCACGCCGUAAAGCCCCCGACUUUCUGAACGUUGACCUCGGAUCAGGUAGGAAUACCCGCUGAACUUAAGCAUAUCAAUAAGCGGAGGAAAAGAAACCAACAGGGAUUGCCUCAGUAACGGCGAGUGAAGCGGCAACAGCUCAAAUUUGAAAUCUGGCCCCAGGCCCGAGUUGUAAUUUGCAGAGGAUGCUUUUGGCGCGGUGCCUUCCGAGUUCCCUGGAACGGGACGCCAUAGAGGGUGAGAGCCCCGUCUGGUUGGACACCAAGCCUUUGUAAAGCUCCUUCGACGAGUCGAGUAGUUUGGGAAUGCUGCUCUAAAUGGGAGGUACAUGUCUUCUAAAGCUAAAUACCGGCCAGAGACCGAUAGCGCACAAGUAGAGUGAUCGAAAGAUGAAAAGCACUUUGGAAAGAGAGUUAAACAGCACGUGAAAUUGUUAAAAGGGAAGCGUUUAUGACCAGACGUGGGCCGGUUAAUCAUCCAGCGUUCUCGCUGGUGCACUUUGCCGGUCCAGGCCAGCAUCAGUUCGUUGCGGGGGAUAAAGGCUUUGGGAAUGUAGCUCCUCGGAGUGUUAUAGCCCUUUGCGUAAUACCCUGCGUCGGACUGAGGUUCGCGCUCUGCAAGGAUGCGGCGUAAUGGUCAUCAACGACC